UCAGGUCAUGUCUACCACAUUGCAAUAGGCCCUCACACUGGCAUUGUGAGUACAACACCGGUAUGGAGAGUCAAACACAUUGCAGAGUACAGGUCUUCUUCGCCCCAAACUGCUUCCUCUUCUCCUUUUCUCGAAUCGUCCACUAGAGGAUUUCUUGACAACUAAAAAGAAGAAAAGAAUUGGAAAUAUCAGAGCCCCCCCCCCGGCAACACCCACCAGGGCAGGAAAAUGCUCACAUUAGGGGGGGUGCCAGGGCAGAGCCUGACUUCCUGGAGCCCCUGCAGCAAGGGGGCCCAGCCAUUCUGAUUCCCCACCCUGCUCCCUGCCCACCACUCAGGGCUGCUCAGCAUGGUUCAGCAGUGCAGACCUAGGUCAGGAGCGAGGGUGACUCCAGUAAAGCUGGUGAGGGGGCCAGCAGAGAGACCUGAAAGACAUUGAAGGUGUAAGAACCUCCAGUACCUGCAUGGCGCCAGGUUCUUUGGAAGAACCAUCCAAAGAGGGAAAGGGGAAGAAACACAAAGAGGAGAUCAAAGUGGGAACCCAGGAUCUGAUGGUGCCCCUGACUACAGACAGCAAGAGACUGAUUCCAGAAUAUACACCUCUUUGGGCGGCACCUGCAGGAAACCAGAGGGAACCCAGUGUUUGGCCCCCACGGUAAGGAAACAGGACACCUGUAGGAAAUUGUUUUUCCUUGGAGAUGUGUCUGCCCAGCCACUCAGGAUGGUGCCUACAAAAUUCUUCAUCCAAGCAGGGAAACUGUUGCUGAGGGAAAGAAUGCCACCACCGCAAUUCUUUUUUUUUUUUUUUAAGUAUCAUUUGUGAAGUUCAACCAACCUUUAUUUGUCUAUACAUAUUAGGUACAUAUUUAGUGUUUAGC
Molecule: long non-coding RNA, 877 nt
Organism: Mustela erminea (ermine)
Lineage: Eukaryota; Metazoa; Chordata; Mammalia; Carnivora; Mustelidae
Exons: 4
Source: RefSeq, a predicted model, not a curated record